RNAcentral lists this ribosomal RNA (508 nucleotides) under uncultured bacterium. RNAcentral's name for it is "bacterial SSU rRNA". It matches the Rfam family "Bacterial small subunit ribosomal RNA", at positions 903 to 1397 of the family's 1533-position model. The record is from RNAcentral.
AAAUGAAUAGACGGGGGCCCGCACAAGCGGUGGAGCAUGCGGGUUAAUGGGAUGAUACGCCAAGAACCUUACCAGGAUUUGACAUGCAGGUGUUAGCAACCUGAAAGGGAAGCGACCUGAGUAAUCAGGAGCCUGCACAGGUGGUGCAUGGUUGUCGUCAGCUCGUGCCGUGAGGUGUUGGGUUAAGUCCCGCAACGAGCGCAACCCCCGCCGUCUGUUGCCAGCGGGCGACUUUGUCGUGCCGGGCACUCAGUCGGGACUGCCGGCGCAAGCCGGAGGAAGGAGGGGACGAGGUCAAAUCUGCAUGCCCCUUAUAUCCUGGGCUGCACGCGUGCUACAAUGGCAGGGACACAGGGCAGCUAAACCGCGAGGUGGAGCUAAUCCCCCAAACCCUGUCUCAAUUCGGAUCGGAGUCUGCAACUCGACUCCGUGAAGCCGGAAUCGCUAGUAACGGUGGAUCAGCAACGCCGCCGUGAAUACGUUCCCGGGCCUUGUACACACCGCCCGU